UACAGAGGAUGCAAGCGUUAUCCGGAAUGAUUGGGCGUAAAGCGUCUGUAGGUGGCUUUUUAAGUCCGCCGUCAAAUCCCAGGGCUCAACUCUGGACAGGCGGUGGAAACUACCAAGCUGGAGUACGGUAGGGGCAGAGGGAAUUUCCGGUGUAGCAGUGAAAUGCGUAGAGAUCGGGAGGAACACCAGUGGCGAAGGCGGCCUUCUGGACCAAUACUGACGCUCAUGCACGAAAGCGUGGGGAGCAAACAGG
Molecule: ribosomal RNA, 253 nt
Filed under: uncultured bacterium
Lineage: Bacteria
Description: partial 16S ribosomal RNA
Rfam family: Bacterial small subunit ribosomal RNA
Source: RNAcentral